Molecule: ribosomal RNA, 301 nt
Filed under: uncultured bacterium
Lineage: Bacteria
Description: partial 16S ribosomal RNA
Rfam family: Bacterial small subunit ribosomal RNA
Source: RNAcentral
CAGUAGCCGCGGGAAUACAGAGGGUGCGAGCGUUAAUCGGAUUUACUGGGCGUAAAGCGUGCGUAGGCGGCUUUUUAAGUCGGAUGUGAAAUCUCUGGGCUCAACCCAGAGUCUGCAUCGGAAACUGUCGAGCUUGAGUAUGGGAGAGGUGAGUGGAAUUUCCGGUGUAGCGGUGAAAUGCGUAGAUAUCGGAAGGAACACCUGUGGCGAAAGCGGCUCACUGGACCAUUACUGACGCUGAGGCGCGAAAGCUAGGGAAGCAAACAGGAUUAGAUACCCCAGUAGUCCCUGUCUCUUAUAC